RNAcentral lists this long non-coding RNA (1437 nucleotides) under Equus asinus (donkey). RNAcentral's name for it is "lncRNA (ENSEASG00005031478.1)". The record is from RNAcentral. Lineage: Eukaryota; Metazoa; Chordata; Mammalia; Perissodactyla; Equidae.
GGGGUACAAUGAGGAACCCAAGACAGGCAGCCAGGCAGCUUCCUAAUGUUCUUUCAGCAUCUGGGAAAGAUGCAUUGUCUUUUCCAAAAAAACAAUUUCACUAAGUUCUUCCCAGGAGAGAGGAAAACGAAGCUCAAAUACCAGAACUACAGGAAUAGCCGGAGGCUGAUGAGCCCCGACAGGCGACAGGCGGGAGCUGUGGGCUCCCACUGACAGCCUCGUCUGCAAUAACAGAGGAGCCGUCGUGGGCAGCGCUUUGAAAAAUGGGUCCCUUAGGCUCGGUGCCCCCAGAUCCAGGAGUCAGAUGCCACAUCCAGAUGGCUCCUGCACAGCACAUUAAGAAAGAAAGAGGGGCAGGUUGUAGAGGAGUAGGAAGGGGGCCGUGCCCCGAGGAGAGGAAGGGCUGGGCCGCCCGGAGCUCCUGGAUCAGGUCUGGCUGGAGUUGGAAGUAACUGCAUUAUGGGAAAGAUUGAAAGGUUAAUAUGAAACCAGCCAAUACUGAACAAGAACAAUUAGGAAGGUUAAGGAGCUUAAUAUUAGAUUAAUGGCUGCUGGAGGAUAAAGUUCACAGCUUCCGGGAAAGAAGUCUGACUCAGAGAAAUCUUUUUAGUUAACAGCUCUUGGUCUGUCUGGUUUUGUUGAUAUUCUUUUUUCUUCCUGGUAAUUGAGAGAAAAUUAUCAUUCAUUCACAAACGAUGCAUUCUCUCCUCUCCCCUUCCUUCUCUCUCUCUCUCUUUCUGUUUGGAAAUGUCUGACUUUCUUCAGGUUCUGGAAUGAAUUUUAGAGUCCCACCUGUUCAGCAGGCUUUACUCCACACUCGUUUCCACCGAGAAGGUUCUCCCCCAUGAGUUUUCAAGUUGGCAUUUUCAGAGGCCUGGAUGAUGGAGACCAGACUUGCUCCCACAGAGUCAGGUUCGGGCCUAAAACAACCUCAUGAGCUGGAUCACGAGAGCUCAGAAGCCCAACACCAGAAGGGCCCUUAGAGAUGCCCACCCCAGGGCAAUGGUUUUCAAACUGUGAUCCUAGGCACCCUGGGGUUCCACGGAGGAACCUCAGAGACCACAGAGAGGAAAGAGCAGAAGCCCACGGGGAGGAGCUUCAGGCCCCUCUCCACCACCACCGCUUCACCCAGGGAGCUCUCUCCACUUCUGCACCUUGUAUUAUCGCUGAAGAGGAGCAGAAUAUGUCACCCAAAAUAUACCACCUUGGUAUAUUGAGUAUUUUGAAUUAAAGGCACUAAGAAACAGUCAGUACAGGAAAGACCCUCUGAGCCUCCUUUGUCCCCCUGAAAGCAGGAGAUAAAUCUGCCACAUGAAAGCUGCUCCCCCCGUACUGGGAGGAAGGGAGCCAUCCUCCUCACCAGAGACAGGCAAUUUAGGGCCGACAAGGCUGUACCACCAAACCUGGUAACCUCUUCACACUUACCACCUCUAGCCC